Molecule: long non-coding RNA, 2003 nt
Organism: Oreochromis aureus
Lineage: Eukaryota; Metazoa; Chordata; Actinopteri; Cichliformes; Cichlidae
Source: Ensembl
AUUCACUAGAUAAUUAUAUUCACAGCAUUCACUCACUGUGUGGAUUCGCUAGCUUAGCUUAGCUUAGCUCGUAGCUGACUCACUAGCAGCAUGGCCUCUUUACCUGCCCGUCGGGCACCAUCGCCUUUGGAUCAGGUGACCCUGAGUCCUCACUUAGUUACAAUGGUGAUGGGGGAUUCCCAUGAUGCAUUGAGUAUUGAGUAUUUCUUCCUCAGUCACCUUUUUCACUCACGGUGUGUUUAUACACCUCUCUGCAUUUAAUUAUUAGUUAUUAUUAAUUUUUGGCUGUCUUUCACAGCAUGUCUGUCCUGUCUUAAUCCGCUACCCCCAGCCAGUUGUGGCAGAUGGCCACCACUGCCUGAGCCUGGAUCUGCUGGAGGUUUCCUCCGGUUUAAAGGGAGUUUUUCCUUCCCACUGUCGCCAAAGAGCUUGAUCAUAGAGGGUCAUCUUAUUGUUGGGGUUUUCUCUGUAUUGUUGUAGUGUCUUUAUCUUCAUGUGAUUUGAUGCUAUAUAAAUAAAAUUGAAUUGAACUGAAUUGAAUUGAAUGUUUGAUCCAAUGAGAUUAAAUGCUAAAAAGGUUAUCUGUUGCUCUUGUGUAAAAUACAGGAGGCUAAAAUGUCAGCUCUGGAAAAAACAAAACAAAACAACCAAAACCUGGUUUUAACACAUAACUAAUAAUCUGACCAAACCCUGAAUGUGUCUGAAAGAAUAAAUUGAGCCUUGGGGGUAUUUUCCUCUAUUCUGCCAUGCUGCUGCUUGUCCAUAUUUGACUAAGGGGAUUCGGUAAUGGCUUCUCCCCGUGUCCCAGAACCAAAUAGAGUUUCCAACAGUGGCUGGCACAUAGCAUGACUGGGUAUGCAACCGAGACGCCGUUAUGGCCUUAACACAAUGCCAUUAUCGCUGUAACACAGUGCUAAUGCUCUCACUUGCUUGCUCUCUUAAAACACACACUCACACAAACAGACACACACACACAGACAUACACACUAAGGCUGUGUCUCUCCGGAAACUAAUGGGUUGUGUUCCUAGAAAGACAUGGAUACUUAAGAGCUGGUUAGGGGCUGAACACAGAUGGCGUGUGUGUGUGUUUGAAAGAAAGAGAGAGACUGACAUAUGUGAGUUCUGUUGUUUGUUUUUGCCUAUGUUUAUAUACAGACUUUCUCAUGAAGCCUCUAGCCACGCAAGAGUCUGCUGGUAAUUGUCCAGCAAAAAGUUGUUCUUCACUGUGUCUUUCUGCACGUUUAUGCUUUGUAAUGACUAUUUACAUUUUGGUUGUGUGUGUGUGUGUGUGUGUGUGUGUGGCUAAAUUUCUGUCUGAUUUGUUCUGUGCUCAUGCUUGUGUGAGUCCCUAAGUGUGAAUGCUCAUGAUGUUUUUUCACAGUAGUGCAUCCUUCUGUGUCAUACCUGCAAAAUCAAGCUUGGCUAACAGUAGAAAUACAUUACUCUUUUGCACCUGAUUCAAAAAUUGGGCUUAAAGUGGCACAUGUACCCUUGCUAAAUAUGAUAACACACUGAAACACAUCCACAUUUUAAGUUCAAGCACUCAUGUAAAUCAAACAUACAUUUUCAUCCACACACACAAACAUACAGACAUAAACACACAGUAGUGGUAUUUUAUAGUUUCAGUUUACAUAUCCAUUCCGCAUAUAUUCAUAUAGAGAACUAAGAACAUGUGACAAAACCUAAAAUGCUCCAAUGGUGUGAUGUCGCUGGUUCUUAUCAUCAAUGGUGGUUAAAACAAAAAAGCAAGAAGAGUAUGACACCAGCGAGAGAGGAGAGUAAAAGUAUUCAGACAGAGAGAAAGGGGUCUUCUCACCAUCUUGUCAUCUCAUCUGUCCUUCUACAUAUGGUUCUGUGUUUGCCCAGCCCUGGCUAAUGCCAAUGUAAGCUCGGAAUUCAGAGACAUGAAUCUAAUUUGCAUUUUGCAGCUGCCAUCUGUUCGAGGUCUAUAUGUGCAAUCUGAUACAAAUUUAACAUAAAUGUGGCUGUUUGUGAAAUUUAAU